CCUACGGGUGGCUGCAGUCGAGAAUCAUUCACAAUGGGGGAAACCCUGAUGGUGCGACGCCGCGUGGGGGAAUGAAGGUCUUCGGAUUGUAAACCCCUGUCAUGUGGGAGCAAAUUAAAAAGAUAGUACCACAAGAGGAAGAGACGGCUAACUCUGUGCCAGCAGCCGCGGUAAUACAGAGGUCUCAAUCGUUGUUCGGAAUCACUGGGCGGAAAGCGUGCGUAGGCUGUUUCGUAAGUCGUGUGUGAAAGGCGCGGGCUCAACCCGCGGACGGCACAUGAUACUGCGAGACUAGAGUAAUGGAGGGGGAACCGGAAUUCGCGGUGUAGCAGUGAAAUGCGUAGAUAUCGAGAGGAACACUCGUGGCGAAGGCGGGUUACUGGACAUUAACUGACGCUGAGGCACGAAGGCCAGGGGAGCGAAAGGGAUUAGAUACCCUAGUAGUC
Molecule: ribosomal RNA, 446 nt
Filed under: uncultured bacterium
Lineage: Bacteria
Description: partial 16S ribosomal RNA
Rfam family: Bacterial small subunit ribosomal RNA
Source: RNAcentral